AACGAACGCUGGCGGCAUGCCUAACACAUGCAAGUCGAACGAGAUCUUCGGGUCUAGUGGCGCACGGGUGCGUAACGCGUGGGAAUCUGCCCUUUGGUUCGGAAUAACAGUUGGAAACGACUGCUAAUACCGGAUGAUGACGAAAGUCCAAAGAUUUAUCGCCAGAGGAAGAGCCCGCGUAGGAUUAGCUAGUUGGUGUGGUAAAGGCGCACCAAGGCGACGAUCCUUAGCUGGUCCGAGAGGAUGGUCAGCCACACUGGGACUGAGACACGGCCCAGACUCCUACGGGGGGAAGCGGUGGGGAAUAUUGGACAAUGGGCGAAAGCCUGAUCCAGCAAUGCCGCGUGAGUGAUGAAGGCCUUAGGGUUGUAAAGCUCUUUUACCCGGGAUGAUAAUGACAGUACCGGGAGAAUAAGCUCCGGCUAACUCCGUGCCAGCAGCCGCCGUAA
This 449-nucleotide ribosomal RNA is filed under the name uncultured bacterium. Its description in RNAcentral is "partial 16S ribosomal RNA". It matches the Rfam family "Bacterial small subunit ribosomal RNA", at positions 29 to 523 of the family's 1533-position model. The record is from RNAcentral.